UACAGAGGUCUCAAGCGUUGUUCGGAUUCAUUGGGCGUAAAGGGUGCGUAGGCGGCGCGGUAAGUCGGGUGUGAAAUCUUGGAGCUUAACUCCGAAACUGCAUUCGAUACUGCCGUGCUUAAGGACUGGAGAGGAGACUGGAAUUUACGGUGUAGCGGUGAAAUGCGUAGAUAUCGUAAGGAAGACCAGUGGCGAAGGCGGGGUCUCUGGACAGUUCCUGACGCUGAGGCACGAAGGCCAGGGGAGCAAACGGG
Molecule: ribosomal RNA, 254 nt
Filed under: uncultured bacterium
Lineage: Bacteria
Description: partial 16S ribosomal RNA
Rfam family: Bacterial small subunit ribosomal RNA
Source: RNAcentral